CGGGGUGAGUAAUGUAUGGGGAUCUGCCUGAUGGCGGGGGAUAACUACUGGAAACGGUAGCUAAUACCGCAUAAUGUCUACGGACCAAAGCGGGGGACCUCCGGGCCUCGCGCCAUCAGAUGAACCCAUAUGGGAUUAGCUAGUAGGUAAGGUAACGGCUUACCUAGGCGACGAUCCCUAGCUGGUCUGAGAGGAUGAUCAGCCACACUGGGACUGAGACACGGUCCAG
RNAcentral lists this ribosomal RNA (229 nucleotides) under uncultured bacterium. RNAcentral's name for it is "partial 16S ribosomal RNA". It matches the Rfam family "Bacterial small subunit ribosomal RNA", at positions 104 to 334 of the family's 1533-position model. The record is from RNAcentral.